This is a long non-coding RNA of Magnolia sinica, 1049 nucleotides long. RefSeq lists it as uncharacterized. The transcript is spliced from 2 exons. NCBI's taxonomy places the organism in Eukaryota, Viridiplantae, Streptophyta, Magnoliopsida, Magnoliales, Magnoliaceae. The record is from RefSeq and is a predicted model, not a curated record.
UCAUGUUUGUGGGGAGCAAACCCACGACCAAAGUUGUUCGCCCCAACUCGUGUCUGUGAAGAGCAAACCCACGACCAAAGUCGUUCGCCCCAACCCGUGAUAGGUAAUCCACGAGGAGGGGAAUCACACUCGUGUCUAUGGGGAGAAAACCCACGACCAAAGCCGUUCGCCCCAACUCGUGAUAGGUAUAAUCCACGGGGAGGGGAAUCACACUCGUGUCUAUGGGAAGCAAACCCACGACCAAAGCCAUUCACCCAAACUCGUGACGGGUUUUGGGAAAGUUUAUAUAUAUAUAUAUAUAUAUAUAAAACAACUGGGUGUCCCUGUCCCCGUCCCUUUUGGGAAGUGAAACCUCACAUCUUUCAAAGAUCUAAGUAAAAUGAGAAAAAAAGGAUUGGGGUAGGCUUAUCCUUGAGUAUGUAUUUGACUAUCUUUCUAUUGAAGGUGAAUGAUAUUCAGCAUUUAGUGAAGUUGUGUAUUGUGUGCUUAGUGUGUAAUUAGUUAUAUGUGUAAACUGUCAAACCCUACUAAGAUCAAGAGUAUCCCAAAAUAGGAAAGACGCUUAGCAUGAAGAUUAGUUUGCCUCGACCAAAAAUAUCAUUCAUAAGUGGUAUUUUCAAAUAAUCUAUUUUUUAGAGAUCAAAAAUUUGCCUCGAACAAAAAUAUCAUUCAUAAGUGGUAUUUUCAAAUAAUCUAUUUUUUAGAGAUCAAGAAGUUAAUUUGUAUAUGGAGUUUCAUUUAUUGAUAAAAGGUCAUUCCAACAAGUUUGGGGCAUUUAGUUUUCACCUACUAGGAAAUCGUGCUCAAAAAUCAUCUUUAGUUUAGAUUCUUCAUACUAUUUUUUAUUUAUUUUUAUUUUUUUACAUUUCUUCGUUAUUUAUGUCCUUCCUAUUUGUUUUUCGUUUUGUAUUUUUUGUCCAAGUAAAACCUCAAACCAACAAAAGAAUUUAGCCAUGGCUCAUUUCAAAUUGCCUUCUUUUUUUUCUUUGUUUUUUUCUUUUUGAGAGAGCUUCAUUAAAAACCCACAAAAUGCAGUGGGGACACCCUCU